AUACUACAAAAAUACAAAAUGAUCACACGGGUGUUUUCCCCAGGGCAUGGUGUCCCUUGCUCUUAGGAUGUGCUCUGAUUUCCCUGAAUGUGGGAAGUCCGACUGCACAGCUGUGGUCGUGGGGGGGCUGUAUUUCUGCUCACCCCU
RNAcentral lists this small nuclear RNA (147 nucleotides) under Mus pahari (shrew mouse). Its description in RNAcentral is "snRNA (MGP_PahariEiJ_G0033773.1)". The record is from RNAcentral. Lineage: Eukaryota; Metazoa; Chordata; Mammalia; Rodentia; Muridae.